Molecule: long non-coding RNA, 1654 nt
Filed under: Anas platyrhynchos platyrhynchos (common mallard)
Lineage: Eukaryota; Metazoa; Chordata; Aves; Anseriformes; Anatidae
Description: lncRNA (ENSAPLG00000018915.1)
Source: RNAcentral
UGGAUGUGCAAGGACUGGAGGUGCAAAAUCUGGAAGUACAAGGGCUGGGAGUGCAAGGGCUGGAGGUGUGAGGUCUGGAGGUGCAAGGACUGGAUGUACAAGGGCUGGAGGUACAAGGGCUGGAUGUGCAAGGGCUGGAUGUGCAAGGGCUGGAUGUACAAGGGCUGGAGGUGCAAGGGCUGGAGGUGCAAGGGCUGGAGGUGCAAAGUCUGGAAGUACAAGUGCUGGAGGUGCAAAAUGUGGAAGUACAAGGGCUGGAGGUGCAAGGGCUGGAAGUGUGAGAUCUGGAGGUGCGAGGGCUGGAGUGCAAGGGCUGGAGGUGCAAGGGCUGGAGGUGCAAAAUCUGGUAGUACAAGGGCUGGAAGUACAAGGGCUGGAGAUGUGAGGGCUGGAGGUGCAAAGUCUGAAGGUGUGAGAUCUGGAGGUGCAAGGGCUGGAGGUGCAAGGACUUUAGGUGCAAAAUCUGGAAGUGCAAGGACUGGAGAUGUGCGGGCUGGAGGUGUGAGCAGGAGGAGGGAGCCACCCUGGAGGUGGGCGCUGCUGCCUGGGCGCAGGGGGAGGCCGCUGCCACCCCCGUGGCGGUGCCUGGGCGAGCGGCUCUGCGCUGGGUGUGCGGGAGGGGCUCCAUCGCCCGCGGUGCUGCUGCUGCUUGCCAAGUUAUGUAAAGUGCCUGGCACCUCCCUGGCACGCAGCAGGCACGCAGCACCUCCGAGCUGGCCGGCCCUGAAGGUCCCCAGGGACCGUGGAGGCGCUGCGCAAACGCACCAAGAGCGGCCACCUCUGCGCCCCCUGCCCUGCCCCUCGGGGGGCUCCCCAAAUCCACACUCCUGGCCCUGGCACAGAUGGGGGCAGUGCAGGGAACCCAGGUGCCCGCUGCGGUGCUGCAGCUGCCCCAGGGCACCCGUGGGGGCUGUCCCCUGUGCCCCCGUGCCAGCACGGCCGUGCCCACGGCGCGCACCGGCACGGGGACCCGCACCCCGUCCCCACGUCCCGCCGAGCGGCCGCUUUUCUCCCCAACAUGGUAAUGAACUCGGCGGAUUAUCAGCUCCCAGAUUUAAUAGAGGCACAGCCACACUCCAGCAGACUUUAAAACAGUCAUUAUUUCAUCAGCAGCCCCAUUAAACUGUCACGGGCUUUGCUGUGCGCUCUCUCCGAUUUUUUUUUCGUUCUCUCCCUCCCGCCUUUUCUCCAUCACCAGUUUUUUUUUUUUUCACCCCAGCAGCACAGAGCACGGGGACGGCCUCGUUGGGACCCUGCUGAAGCCAAGGGGUGGGGAACGAUGUCGGACUGCUCCCCCCCGUGCCCACCCUCAGUUUACCCAUCGGUAAAAUGGGCUCGGCGUGGGCUUCCCAUUUGGGGCUGCUCCAUGGGGAGGAAGAAACUUUCUGCAGAUGCAAACUCCAGCCCCAUUUUCUGGGGUCCUCACCCCCCUGACCCCACGGAGAGGGGCAGCGGGGUGGUGGUGGGAAGGGGAGCGGGGCGUAAAGAGACGGAGCAGGGAGAGCCCCCCCCUUUUUUUUCAACCUUUCCUCAAUCCACGCGCUCCCCACCCCCUUCCCACGCUCGCCUCCUCCCUCUCCAUCAGCCGCCUACACGCCGCUCCUGGCGUAAUGGGGAAAAUAAAGGAAAUUUCAAAAAACUAAAUGCGUGCCGA